CCUACGGGGGGCUGUAGUGGGGAAUAUUGGACAAUGGGCGAAAGCCUGAUCCAGCCAUGCCGCGUGUGUGAAGAAGGCCUUCGGGUUGUAAAGCACUUUCAGUGGGGAAGAAAGCCUUGGGGCUAAUACCCUCGAGGAAGGACAUCACCCACAGAAGAAGCACCGGCUAACUCCGUGCCAGCAGCCGCGGUAAUACGGAGGGUGCGAGCGUUAAUCGGAAUUACUGGGCGUAAAGCGCGCGUAGGCGGUCUGAUAAGCCGGUUGUGAAAGCCCCGGGCUCAACCUGGGAACGGCAUCCGGAACUGUCAGGCUAGAGUGCAGGAGAGGAAGGUAGAAUUCCCGGUGUAGCGGUGAAAUGCGUAGAGAUCGGGAGGAAUACCAGUGGCGAAGGCGGCCUUCUGGACUGACACUGACGCUGAGGUGCGAAAGCGUGGGUAGCAAACAGGAUUAGAUACCCCGGUAGUC
RNAcentral lists this ribosomal RNA (465 nucleotides) under Vreelandella stevensii. Its description in RNAcentral is "partial 16S ribosomal RNA". It matches the Rfam family "Bacterial small subunit ribosomal RNA", at positions 338 to 795 of the family's 1533-position model. The record is from RNAcentral. Lineage: Bacteria; Pseudomonadati; Pseudomonadota; Gammaproteobacteria; Oceanospirillales; Halomonadaceae.